AACUUUACCGGGAGAGAGACGCGAAAUCUCGCGAGAGGUUGCUUCCAACUUCCUUCGUUCUUUUUGUCGCCAAUCAAGCAAGAUGCCUUCCAGAUUGAGGAAGACAAGGAAACUAAGGGGGCACGUCAGUCAUGGUCAUGGACGUAUUGGCAAACACAGGAAACAUCCAGGAGGCCGUGGAAAUGCUGGUGGUAUGCACCACCAUAGAAUUAACUUUGACAAAUAGUAAGCUACUUUUCCUUUUUAUCUCACAACUACCUUUUGAAUUUUAGUUUUGUGUAAUACAAAGAGCUGAU
Long non-coding RNA from Ahaetulla prasina, 296 nucleotides. RefSeq lists it as uncharacterized. The transcript is spliced from 3 exons. The record is from RefSeq and is a predicted model, not a curated record. Lineage: Eukaryota; Metazoa; Chordata; Lepidosauria; Squamata; Colubridae.